CGGAGGUGGCUAGCGUUACUCGGAAUUAUUGGGUGUAAAGGGCAAGUAGGCGGUCUAAUAAGUGGGGGGUGAAAUACUCUGGCUCAAUCGGAGAACUGCCUUCCAAACUGCUAGACUUGAGUGUGACAGAGGAAGAUGGAAUUCUUGGUGUAAGGGUGAAAUCUGUAGAUAUCAAGAAGAACACCAGCUGCGAAGGCGAUUUUCUGGGUCAUUACUGACGCUAAAUUGCGAAAGCUAGGGGAGCAAACAGAAUUAGAUACUCUGGUAGUCCUAGCCGUAAACGAUGAGCACUAGGUGUCGGGUCCUUUAGGAUUCGGUGCCGCAGCUAACGCAUUAAGUGCUCCACCUGGGGACUACGGUCGCAAGGCUA
This 370-nucleotide ribosomal RNA is filed under the name uncultured organism. RNAcentral describes it as "bacterial SSU rRNA". It matches the Rfam family "Bacterial small subunit ribosomal RNA", at positions 526 to 896 of the family's 1533-position model. The record is from RNAcentral.